Hyposmocoma kahamanoa is the source of this 585-nucleotide long non-coding RNA. RefSeq lists it as uncharacterized. The record is from RefSeq and is a predicted model, not a curated record. The transcript is spliced from 2 exons. Lineage: Eukaryota; Metazoa; Arthropoda; Insecta; Lepidoptera; Cosmopterigidae.
GCCGGGACGUGGACGGGCCGCGCUCCGGCAGGGGCUCAAAAAAAUACCGUUGUGUAUAUUUUGUAUAAACUCGUUUACACAUGUCCGUGUCCGGGCCGGGGCCGGGACGGGCCCGCGGCUCAUACAAACUAGUACGUCCACGUCCCGAGCACGGCCCGGAUAUGUGUGGAUAGUCCUUUAGAUUUUUAACCGCACUGUUUUGUUUCCUUCAACAAGAGAAUUAAGAAAAGAACACGAGUCGAGAAACCAACAUUCGUUUAAUCAAAAUAUGCACCCGUGCCGUUAAUACUACACAAGCUAAUAUUAACAGCACCGUCAAACGGUGUUAAAGAAAGUGAAACGCCAGGGCCCGACGCCGGCGGAGCCCAGCGAGCCCAGCGAGCCCGCCGAGCGAGCCGAGCCCGCGCCGGCCAAGCCGACGCACGGCGCCCUGUCCGGCUUGAGGAAGCUGUUCGCCAGGAACGCCGUGCCCUACCUCGAAGCGAAGGACUCCAGCGUCGCGGGCGACGGCGGCGGCGGCGGCGGGGGCGGGGCCGGGGCGAAGGCCGACUCCGACGCGUGCCGCAUCUCGUGACCGCCGAACCC